AACGAACGCUGGCGGCGUGGAUAAGACAUGCAAGUCGAACGGAACACAAAGUGUAGUAAUACAGUUUGUGUUUAGUGGCGAACGGGUGCGUAACACGUGGGCAAUCUGCCGGGAAGUGGGGGAUAACUCGUCGAAAGGCGAACUAAUACCGCAUGUGACCAGGGGGGACAUCCCUCCGAAGUCAAAGCUGGGGUAACCUAGCGCUUCCUGAUGAGCCCGCGGCCUAUCAGCUUGUUGGUGAGGUAACGGCUCACCAAGGCUAUGACGGGUAGCUGGUCUGAGAGGACGACCAGCCACACUGGAACUGAGACACGGUCCAGACACCUACGGGUGGCAG
RNAcentral lists this ribosomal RNA (337 nucleotides) under uncultured Verrucomicrobiota bacterium. RNAcentral's name for it is "bacterial SSU rRNA". It matches the Rfam family "Bacterial small subunit ribosomal RNA", at positions 29 to 351 of the family's 1533-position model. Lineage: Bacteria; Pseudomonadati; Verrucomicrobiota. The record is from RNAcentral.